This 149-nucleotide ribosomal RNA is filed under the name uncultured bacterium. RNAcentral's name for it is "partial 16S ribosomal RNA". It matches the Rfam family "Bacterial small subunit ribosomal RNA", at positions 159 to 294 of the family's 1533-position model. The record is from RNAcentral.
CGAGCUAAUGCCGGAUGUGACGAUUGGAAGGCAUCUUCUGAUCUUCAAAGUUGGGGACCGUAAGGCCUGACGCUUCAUGAUGAGCCCGCGGACUAUCAGCUAGUUGGUGAGGUAACGGCUCACCAAGGCUAAGACGGGUAACUGGUCUG